This 391-nucleotide ribosomal RNA is filed under the name uncultured bacterium. RNAcentral describes it as "bacterial SSU rRNA". It matches the Rfam family "Bacterial small subunit ribosomal RNA", at positions 97 to 512 of the family's 1533-position model. The record is from RNAcentral.
GGCAGACGGGUGAGUAACGCGUGGGAACCUUCCCUUUGGUACCGGAAUAACUUCUGGGAAACCGAAGCUAAUACCUGUAUAAAGUCCUUCGGGAGAAAGAUUUAUCGCCCAAGGAUGGGCCCGCGUUGGAUUAGCUAGUUGUAGGGUAAAGGCCUACCAAGGCUACGAUCCAUAGCUGGUCUGAGAGGAUGAUCAGCCACACUGGGACUGAGACCCGGCUCCAGAAUUCCAAACGGGAGGCAGCCGUGGGGAAUAUUGGACAAUGGGGGCAACCCCUGAUCCAAGCCAUGCCGCGUGAGUGAAGAAGGCCUUAGGGUUGUACAAGCUCUUUUGGCGGGGACGAUAAUGACUGGUACCCGCAGAAGUAAGCCCCGGCUAACUUCGUGCCAGC